UACGUAGGGGGCAAGCGUUAUCCGGAAUUACUGGGUGUAAAGGGUGCGUAGGCGGUUUACUAAGUCAGAUGUGAAAGCCCGAGGCUCAACCUCGGGACUGCAUUUGAAACUGGUAAACUAGAAUACAGGAGAGGUAAGUGGAAUUCCUAGUGUAGCGGUGAAAUGCGUAGAUAUUAGGAGGAACACCAGUGGCGAAGGCGACUUACUGGACUGUUAUUGACGCUGAGGCACGAAAGCGUGGGGAGCGAACAGG
Molecule: ribosomal RNA, 253 nt
Filed under: uncultured bacterium
Lineage: Bacteria
Description: partial 16S ribosomal RNA
Rfam family: Bacterial small subunit ribosomal RNA
Source: RNAcentral